GUAGAUGGAAGGAGAUGCCGGGGAAAAACUAGAGGCUAAGGAAGGCGCCAGAGGAAGAAGAAGGUCAGUGCGCUAAAGAAGGAAGACGUGAGCUCGUGAGGAGGAGUACGGGACGUGCUGAUAUUUAAAGGUGGUCUGAGAAGGGGUAAAAGCGGAAUUUUUACCGCGCCAGCGUUUCGAUUUUUUCGGGAGGAGUGGUUGUCGUGGGCGCCCGUUUCGAAAAGAUUGCAAUCAUCAAGCUGGAGACCGCGAAAUGGAAGGAUAUUUUCAAUGCGUUUGUUUCGGAAGGGAAGUUGAAAAGAAUUUCGAAGUAAAGACUAUGUUUUACUCCGAAACUGGGGGGCAUGUGUUGACGCCAGAUUUUGACACGUGUGAAAUCGGCGUUAAGAAAGGAAGAAAUUAGGAGAUGUGGCAAGACACAGAGGUCACGAUUGGAAAUCGGCCGAUUGGUGCUGCAGUGUUUCCGCAGAUGAAGUUGGUGGAAAUCGGCCGAUUGGGAGGCUGGAGCAAUUGGGCCGGUAUGGGCUUAAAGUGAACUAUGAAGAUAAAGAGGGGGUCCGCCCAUGGGAGCGCGAUGAUCAACUCCAGUAUGAAUCACACUUGUAAAUAUUUGUUUUCAUUUAAAAUUAGAGAUAGAGUCUUAGUCGGUUAAGAAAUUAGUUGUAACAAGCUAUAAAUAGCCACUUUCAUAGAUCUGUAAUCAC
This 704-nucleotide long non-coding RNA is filed under the name Setaria viridis. RNAcentral's name for it is "long non-coding RNA (SVIR_LNC007734)". Lineage: Eukaryota; Viridiplantae; Streptophyta; Magnoliopsida; Poales; Poaceae. The record is from RNAcentral.